GUUGUGCCACCAUGAUAAAGUUGGUAGUCUUAUUGGCAAAGGCGGUUCUGUGGUGCGGGCUCUUCAAAAUGAAACUGGUGCAUCUAUCCAAAUUGUUGAGGCUGGACCUGAUUCAGACGAGCGCAUUGUUGUGAUAUCUGCACGAGAGGUAUGAGAUCAACUACUUUAUUUGUCUGAUAAGCAAUGCUCUACCCGUGUAUGAUAGCUUGUUACACAAAAUUGACCUUGCUAUAUCUUUGUUUGCAAAGUUUUGCUUUGAUGGGAGUAAAUUUUGUCGGAUCUUCAGUAUUCUGUCUUGGAAAGUUUCUUGUUUGUAACUUUGGUUGCUUGUUGAGGUUAUUGUGAGCUGGCUCUCUGGUGUCAAGUUAUUCUGGAGAUCUUUGUUAAAAAUCUAAAAUAUGAUUGUUCUUUUGUUAUAAUCAAACAGGUAACCUUUGUC
Molecule: long non-coding RNA, 439 nt
Filed under: Vigna radiata
Lineage: Eukaryota; Viridiplantae; Streptophyta; Magnoliopsida; Fabales; Fabaceae
Description: long non-coding RNA (VRAD_LNC012185)
Source: RNAcentral